This 867-nucleotide ribosomal RNA is filed under the name Spirochaetaceae bacterium. RNAcentral's name for it is "bacterial SSU rRNA". It matches the Rfam family "Bacterial small subunit ribosomal RNA", at positions 1 to 859 of the family's 1533-position model. The record is from RNAcentral. Lineage: Bacteria; Pseudomonadati; Spirochaetota; Spirochaetia; Spirochaetales; Spirochaetaceae.
AUCAUGGAGAGUUUGAUCCUGGCUCAGAACGAACGCUGGCGGCGCGUCUUAAGCAUGCAAGUCGAGCGGUAUAGAGGGGCGUGCUCCUCUAGAGAGCGGCGGACUGGUGAGUAACGCGUGGGUGACCUACCUUAAGGAUGGGGAUAGCCGUUAGAAAUAGCGGGUAAUACCGGAUGUGGUUAUCCUGCUGUGGCGGGAUAACGAAAGGGGCUUUGGCCCCGCCUUGAGAUGGGCCCGCGUUCCAUUAGGUAGUUGGUGGGGUAAAGGCCUACCAAGCCGAUGAUGGGUAGCCGGCCUGAGAGGGUGAACGGCCACACUGGGACUGAGAUACGGCCCAGACUCCUACGGGAGGCAGCAGCUAAGAAUAUUCCGCAAUGGGCGGAAGCCUGACGGAGCGACGCCGCGUGGAUGAGGAAGGCCGAAAGGUUGUAAAAUCCUUUUGCUGUUGAAGAAUAAGGCGGGGAGGGAAUGCCCUGCUGAUGACGUUAGGCAGCGAAUAAGCCCCGGCUAAUUACGUGCCAGCAGCCGCGGUAACACGUAAGGGGCGAGCGUUGUUCGGAAUUAUUGGGCGUAAAGGGCGCGUAGGCGGUUGGACAAGCCCGGCGUGAAAUGUAUCGGCUUAACCGGUAGAUGGCGCUGGGAACUGUGUAACUAGAGUCAUGGAGGGGCAGUUGGAAUUCCGCGUGUAGGGGUGAAAUCUGUAGAUAUGCGGAAGAACACCGGCGGCGAAGGCGAACUGCUAGCCAAUGACUGACGCUGAGGCGCGAAAGUGCGGGGAGCAAACAGGAUUAGAUACCCUGGUAGUCCGCACUAUAAACGAUGUGCACUAGGUGUUGGGCCGAGCGGUUCAGUGCCGAAGCGAACGUG